RNAcentral lists this ribosomal RNA (843 nucleotides) under uncultured bacterium. RNAcentral's name for it is "bacterial SSU rRNA". It matches the Rfam family "Bacterial small subunit ribosomal RNA", at positions 8 to 849 of the family's 1533-position model. The record is from RNAcentral.
AGAGUUUGAUCCUGGCUCAGAUUGAACGCUGGCGGCAGGCCUAACACAUGCAAGUCGAGCGGUAGAGAGAAGCUUGCUUCUUUUGAGAGCGGCGGACGGGUGAGUAAUGCCUAGGAAUCUGCCUGGUAGUGGGGGAUAACGUUCGGAAACGGACGCUAAUACCGCAUACGUCCUACGGGAGAAAGCAGGGGACCUUCGGGCCUUGCGCUAUCAGAUGAGCCUAGGUCGGAUUAGCUAGUUGGUGAGGUAAUGGCUCACCAAGGCUACGAUCCGUAACUGGUCUGAGAGGAUGAUCAGUCACACUGGAACUGAGACACGGUCCAGACUCCUACGGGAGGCAGCAGUGGGGAAUAUUGGACAAUGGGCGAAAGCCUGAUCCAGCCAUGCCGCGUGUGUGAAGAAGGUCUUCGGAUUGUAAAGCACUUUAAGUUGGGAGGAAGGGCAGUUACCUAAUACGUGAUUGUUUUGACGUUACCGACAGAAUAAGCACCGGCUAACUCUGUGCCAGCAGCCGCGGUAAUACAGAGGGUGCAAGCGUUAAUCGGAAUUACUGGGCGUAAAGCGCGCGUAGGUGGCUUGUUAAGUUGGAUGUGAAAUCCCCGGGCUCAACCUGGGAACUGCAUUCAAAACUGACUGACUAGAGUAUGGUAGAGGGUGGUGGAAUUUCCUGUGUAGCGGUGAAAUGCGUAGAUAUAGGAAGGAACACCAGUGGCGAAAGCGACCACCUGGACUAAUACUGACACUGAGUGCGAAAGCGUGGGGAGCAACAGAUUAGAUACCCUGGUAGUCCACGCCGUAAACGAUGUCAACUAGCCGUUGGGAGCCUUGAGCUCUUAGUGGCGC